This is a long non-coding RNA of Zalophus californianus (California sea lion), 800 nucleotides long. RefSeq lists it as uncharacterized. The transcript has 3 exons. The record is from RefSeq and is a predicted model, not a curated record. NCBI's taxonomy places the organism in Eukaryota, Metazoa, Chordata, Mammalia, Carnivora, Otariidae.
CCAUCCUCCCUGCUGGACUGCGAGCUCCACAAGCCCCGGUCUCCUUCAGCACACGGAGGUCCAGCACAGAGCCUGGGAACAGCAAUCAGAGAGCCCAGUCCCCAGGGAAGAACAGCAGACUUGCAGUUUAUAUGACGACACAGGACCCCACAUAGUGGGAAAUAGCCUAAGACCAACACGACGCUUUGUGAGAAGCCGCAGAUGACAUUCAGUAACCCAUCAGAAUGUGAGGAAUCUCUCUGGUACCCCACACCACCGAGAGCGCUAUGCUGCCCCACGGGGAAGGGACGUGGGCGUGUGCACAUGCUGGAUUUUAUUUGGGGGAUGUUGGUUUGUGUAUCUCGUUGUUGAGCCUAAAAUAAAUGGCCAGGAAUGGAGCAGGGGAGAUUUAAACUCAGUCAAAAGGAACAUUGCAGGCAGGAUGCAUCACUGCCAGGCUGGUCGAAGGGUGAGAUUUUCUAAAGACAAGGGAGGGAGCAGAUGACCUUUCCAGAGCCCUCCAGUCGGCAGAUUUUAUGAUUCCGUGCACGUCCUCUGUCUAGACAUGAAGUGUGGAUGCUCUUGCUUUUAUUGCCGUAGCAUGGGGAAAAGCAUAAUCGCUCCACCUACAGUCUGAUCUGGGAAAUUACUCAGCCUCAGCCAGGACAAACAAAAGCAAACAAACAAAAUUGGGGAGAAGAAAACCCACUGGAAAGAAGGUAAUUUCAGUCUCUGAUAGAGAAUAUUCCCUCCAAAUUACAUGUACUUUUACUUCAGCCUUUCAAAAUAAUUGUCAUUUUAAUACCUGGGUUUUGCACAGU